UACGUAGGGGGCUAGCGUUGUCCGGAAUCAUUGGGCGUAAAGCGCGUGUAGGCGGUUCGGUAAGUCCGCUGUGAAAGUCGGGGGCUCAACCCUCGAAUGCCGGUGGAUACUGUCGGACUAGAGUACGGAAGAGGCGAGUGGAAUUCCUGGUGUAGCGGUGAAAUGCGCAGAUAUCAGGAGGAACACCUAUUGCGAAGGCAGCUCGCUGGGACGUAACUGACGCUGAGACGCGAAAGUGUGGGGAUCAAACAGG
Molecule: ribosomal RNA, 253 nt
Filed under: uncultured bacterium
Lineage: Bacteria
Description: partial 16S ribosomal RNA
Rfam family: Bacterial small subunit ribosomal RNA
Source: RNAcentral